CAGUCGCCGCGGUAAUACGGAGGGAGCUAGCGUUAUUCGGAAUUACUGGGCGUAAAGCGCACGUAGGCGGCUUUGUAAGUAAGAGGUGAAAGCCUGGUGCUCAACACCAGAACUGCCUUUUAGACUGCAUCGCUUGAAUCAUGGAGAGGUCAGUGGAAUUCCGAGUGUAGAGGUGAAAUUCGUAGAUAUUCGGAAGAACACCAGUGGCGAAGGCGGCUUACUGGCUCAUUCUAGACGCUGAGGUGCGAAAGCGUGGGGAGCAAACAGGAUUAGAUACCCCUGUAGUCCCUGUCUCUUAUAC
RNAcentral lists this ribosomal RNA (301 nucleotides) under uncultured bacterium. RNAcentral describes it as "partial 16S ribosomal RNA". It matches the Rfam family "Bacterial small subunit ribosomal RNA", at positions 509 to 807 of the family's 1533-position model. The record is from RNAcentral.